CGAACGGGUGAGUAACACGUGGGUAACCUGCCCAUCAGAGGGGGAUAACRCUUGGAAACGGUGCUAAUACCGUAUAACAAUCGAAACCGCAUGGUUUUGAUUUGAAAGGCGCUUUCGGGUGUCGCUGAUGGAUGGACCCCGGUGCAUUAGCUAGUUGGUGAGGUAACGGCUCACCAAGGCACGAUGCAACCGACCUGAGAGGGUGAUCGGCCACAUUGGGACUGAGACACGGCCCAAACUCCUACGGGAGGCAGCAGUAGGGAAUCUUCGGCAAUGGACGAAAGUCUGACCGAGCAACGCCGCGUGAGUGAAGAAGGUUUUCSGAUCGUAAAACUCUGUUGUUAGAGAA
This 349-nucleotide ribosomal RNA is filed under the name Enterococcus durans. RNAcentral describes it as "bacterial SSU rRNA". Lineage: Bacteria; Bacillati; Bacillota; Bacilli; Lactobacillales; Enterococcaceae. The record is from RNAcentral.